CAAGUCGAGCGGAUACAUCCGGUAGCAAUAUCGGGUGUGUUUAGCGGCGCAAGGGUGCGUAACACGUGGGUAAUUUGCCGUAAAGCUGGGGAUAACUCCGGGAAACCGGAGCUAAUACCGAAUGUGGAUUUAGGAGGCAUCUCCUGAUCUCUAAAGCUGGGGACCCGUAAGGGCCUGGCACUUUACGAUAAGCCCGCGGCCUAUCAGCUUGUUGGCGAGGUAACGGCUCACCAAGGCUAAGACGGGUAGCUGGUCUGAGAGGACGACCAGCCACACUGGAACUGAGACACGGUCCAGACACCUACGGGUGGCAGCAGUCGAGAAUUUUUCACAAUGGGCGCAAGCCUGAUGGAGCGACGCCGCGUGGGGGAUGAAGGGCUUCGGCUCGUAAACCCCUGUCAGUCGCGAACAACGUGUACCGGUGAAUAUCCGGUGCAUUGAUAGUAGCGACAGAGGAAGGGACGGCUAACUCUGUGCCAGCAGCCGCGGUAAUACAGAGGUCCCGAGCGUUGUUCGGAUUCACUGGGCGUAAAGGGUGCGUAGGUGGCUUUGCAAGUCUGAUGUGAAAUCUCCGGGCUUAACCCGGAAAUGGCAUUAGAAACUGUGAGGCUUGAGGCUUGGAGGGGGAACUGGAAUUCUCGGUGUAGCAGUGAAAUGCGUAGAGAUCGAGAGGAACACCAGUGGCGAAGGCGAGUUCCUGGACAAGUCCUGACACUGAGGCACGAAAGCCGGGGGAGCAAACAGGAUUAGAUACCCUGGUAGUCCCGGCUGUAAACGGUGCACGUUUGCUGUGAGCGGAAUCGACCCCGUUCGUGGCGAAGCUAACGCGUUAAACGUGCCGCCUGGGGGAGUACGGUCGCAAGAUUAAAACUCAAGAAAUUGACGGGGGCUGCACAAGCGGUGGAGUAUGUGGCUUAAUUCGAUGCAAC
Molecule: ribosomal RNA, 929 nt
Filed under: uncultured Verrucomicrobiota bacterium
Lineage: Bacteria; Pseudomonadati; Verrucomicrobiota
Description: bacterial SSU rRNA
Rfam family: Bacterial small subunit ribosomal RNA
Source: RNAcentral